CUUAAGUUGAAGAUAUCUGUCCCACAAGGUUAUCAUUUCUCGAAGGUGAAUGAGGUCAAAAAUGUGCUGAAACUUUGCGAUUUUGGUAAUGCCAUGUUUGCUGGGAAGAAUGAGAUUACACCAUAGUUGUAUCUCUGUUCAUUCUUGGCUUGCCGUAUGACCAUGCUUUGGACAUAUAGGUCAGUUGGCUGCUGCUUGUAUGAGCUAUAUACAGGAAAGGUCCUCUUCCCUGGACCAUCAAACAAUGACAUGCUUCGGCUUCAUAUGGAGUUAAAAGGUCCAUUUCAUAAAAAGAUGCUCAGGAAGGGAGCCUUUACUGAUCAUCAUUUUGAUCGGGAUCUGAAUUUCCAUGCCACUGAAGAAGAUCCUGUUACAAAGAAGGCAAAGGAUUUUAGUAGUCUUAUUUCAAGCUAUACUGGUGAGGAUCCCAAGAUGCUGGCCAAUUUCAAAGAUCUGCUUGAUAGAAUUUUUGUGCUCGAUCCAGAGAAAAGAUUGACAGUAUCUCAAGCACUGAGUCAUCCAUUCAUUACGGGCAAGUGAAUAAAGAUGCCUGUUGAGUUAGCUAUGCAUUUGAAUCUUUUAUUCAGCCAUCUGAUCAUUGGCCAUUUGCUUGUCUCUGUCUUUGUCACAUGGACCAAGUGCAAGCAAUGCAGACUUCUUGCUGAUCGUGAGCUUAACACAGCCACUCUGGGGAGCUCUCUUACUUGGCGAGUCCUUUCAGUCGAAUAUAUUCUAUUUCUAUUGGCUUAUGGCAGUUCUCUGAGGCAAAUAUAACAAUGGUUUUGAUGGUUGAAGACAGCAGAAAGAAGGGUAGGGCAGAUGAUUUCUGGUGUCUUUUAUGCACGGCGUACGGGAGGAACAUAAAGAUGGUUCAGUUCAGGCGUAUAGUGUGCAAGCUUUCAUUCCAAAAGAUCUUGCAGCACUUGUAUGGCAGAAUGGUUCCAGUCUUACUCAUGAUAAGUUUUGAUAAGGCCAUUGGUCAAUCCUACAAAAGUUAUUAUAAAUCUUAAUGGGCUAGAGUAUUUGUGGCAUGAUCUUGUAUCAAAACGCUGCAGGCGAAUUUCUCUCUGAUUAGUUUGUUAUUGUGUUAAGCCGGCUGCUCCCUUUCCUCCAUCGUCUUCUUUCAUCCUCUCUUCUCAACAUAUCUGUUUUGCAUACGGAGAGACGAGUACUUUGUGAAGAUUCUUACAUGGUAUCAGAGCCAGGUUGCAUCGUCCUCCGAAAAGGACUGCACGAUCAUCACACCUUACUCAAAAAAAAAAAAUCCACAAGAUCUGCUGUUCCUCAUAUCAAACAGCAGCCACGAGAUCUCCUUAAGGAUCUGAUGACGCCUUCCACAUAGGCGUGACCAGUCCUUCUCCACGCAGCACACCCAAACUUUAUCUCUUUACCGCCUCCCUGUUCGUGGGUAAGAAGAAAUAAAGUUGGGCAACGAGAGGAGGAAAGAGAAGGAAGACACCGGAGGAAGAAGUCGCCAAAGACGGAGAUCGCCGGAAAGCUUACUUGGUUGUUGCCGCCGGUGGAGGCUCUGAUACCAUGUUGCACGAGAGAGAAAGAGAAAAGCUUCUGUCCCUCAUCUUGACAUGGUUGAAAGUGUAGAUGAUCAAAAAGCAUCUGUCCCUCAUCUUGACAUGGUUGAAAGUGUAGAUGAUCAAAAGAAAUGGUGGUAUGUGUAUGCAUGAUGAAGCACCCCUUUACAUCGAUAUGAUUGAACAGACAACUCUAGGUCAUGGGUUUAUAAAGGAAGAGUUUGGCAAGACACCUAGAAUUGGUUGGCAGAUUGAUCCAUUUGGACACUCAGCAGUACAAGCUUAUUUGCUUAGUGCAGAAGAAUUGAUUUCUCAAACACAUGCAAUCCGAUUAGCAGCAAGACUCAUGUCAAGUCCAGGGGAAUGGCUUGCAGCACUGUCAUUGUUGCUAGAGCUAUCAAAGAACUGUUUAUCUUCAUGUGAGAAAAUUUGUUCCAGACCUGGUACCAUUCUACUUUUGAUUACAAUAAAAUGCAAUACUACUGAUUCAAUGGUAGCUGAAAAAGCAAACAUGACCCAAAACAACUUCGUGAAGUGUCCAAAAAAUAGCAAGAUCAUGCAGAAAAUAGACUUUUGGAACCUCUUCUCAGCAACCUCAUUAAAGAAGCGAGGAGAAGUUGAUUAUUGGGCUGAAGAUGAAAAGAUUUGGGAUUAAGAGCAAGGUGAAUGGCUAAGGUGGUGUUAUCUUCAACUUGGCGAGCUUCGGUGGUUGGUGGAGCAGUUAGAGGUGAUUGUGGAUGGAUAGAAUAAGAAAGAAGAAAAAAGGGGACACCAGCGAUCAUUCGAGAGGCUUCCAUUCGAAUUCAUCGUUCUCUCUUCUGUCUUCGAUUCAUUGACCCCUAAACAGAAUGAAGAUUCUAUUCUUCUUGGAAACAAAAUUUGCUUGGGUUGCGUUUUUCCAACUCUUUCAGCGUAAGCAGCUCCACAACUAGAGCGCAUUGCUUUCCAUGGACAGGUAUAUGUGCAAUCUAUAGUUUUAUGGCCAGGUAUAUGUGCAAUCUUUCAAGGUAUUCUGCAGUUUUUCAAUUAGAUGUUCAAAUGUGAAAUGCAUUUUCUAUAAUAUUUAAGCUACUGAUUGUCAA
This is a long non-coding RNA of Nymphaea colorata (pocket water lily), 2611 nucleotides long. RefSeq lists it as uncharacterized. The record is from RefSeq and is a predicted model, not a curated record. NCBI's taxonomy places the organism in Eukaryota, Viridiplantae, Streptophyta, Magnoliopsida, Nymphaeales, Nymphaeaceae. The transcript has 19 exons.